GGUGCCUUCAUCCAUCACCUUGGCCUGUCUUGCAGUCAGCUCCAUUGGGUAGGUGGUACCAUGGCCCCAUCCUACAGAUGAGAACACUGAGCACCAGAGAGGGCCCAAUCACCUCACUUGGAAUCCACCAUUGCUACCUGCUGCCGGCACCUCCAAAGGCUGCUUGGUUUCCACCUGCCCACCUCCUCCUCCUCUGCAGAGCCCCUGGCCUCCUUCAGCCAGACGACUCUGCAGCCACCUCCUGCCUCUGCUGCAUCCCCCUCCAGGGACCACCCCCACCAGCGGGGCACAGCCUGCAAGAAGUGCCUCUUAACCUUUGCGUGUGUGAAGGGGACGUGUCCACAAGACCCUGGGGCGGGUCCUGAGUCCAGGCGGGAUCUCUGCACGGAGCGGACGUCCCAGCCACGCUCUCCUCCCCACAAAGGGGGGACGGCCGUGGCUGUGAGGUGGACAUCUAUCACCCAGGCCAGACUUGAAGACGCACAAUCAGGGCCCCUGCUCCACGAGGAGGGCCCCUAAGACAGACACAGAUGUAUAUUGACUCGUGCGGGAGAGAGCUAAAGUCUCGAGACUCCCGUGUAAAUGUCAGGGACACUGCAGGGCAGAGAUGGGCGCCCUGCGGGGAGGUGGAGGGGUUGGUGGGCCGAGGAGGAUGGAGAAGAGUGAGUAGGAGAUAUGUGGAGAAGCGUGUUCCACUGGAUAGAAGUGGAGACCUGUCAGUCACCCAGUUGCCACCUCCCCUUCCAGAUUCCGGACCUCUGCACGGGGCCUUCUCCUGCGAGCCCAGGCCUCGCUCUGUUUGGACAGCUCUGCCAGCAUCAGUGGUUACCACUGCUCUCCUGGCCUCUGGUAUGAGUUUCCUGGGGCUGCUGUAACAAAUUAUGAUAAGCUGAGUGGCUUAAAACAACAGAAAUUCAUUUUCUCACAUUCUGGAGGCCAGAAGUCCAAAGUCAGUUUCAAUGGGCCAAAAUCAAGGCGUGGGCAGGACCACGGCCCCUUGUGGGCUCUGGGGAAGGACUCUUUUCCCUCACCUCCUGGUAGCUGCCCCUCCUUGCCCUGUGGCUGCACCAUUCCAGUCCCUGCCUCUGUGGUGGCAAUGCAUGAUCCUCUUCUGUCUGCAGUCAAAUCUCCCUCUUUCUCCCUUUAUGAGGAUUCUUGCGAUUGCACUUGGGGCUGCCCAGAUAAUCUGGAAUAAUCUCUUCAUCUCAGGAACCUUAAUUUAGUCACAUGUGCAAAGUCCCUUUUUUUGGCCAUGUAAGGUAACAUUCCUAGGUUCCAGGGACUAGGAUGUGGAUAUCUCUCGGGUGCUAUUACUCUGCCUACCAUAUCCCCUUGGCCCCCUGCAGAUUAUACGGGUGCUUCUCCAUCAGAGGUCUACGGAGGGAGGUGAUGUGUCUGGUACCCCCUCUUUCCUACACCCUCCGCUCAGUGACGAUGGCUGCUGGUCCGCUCCUCUCUCCCUCUUCCUUCCUCUUCGCUCUCACUUUGGAGUCCCCAGAGCCAUUUGGGUUUGGAACCAGUGCUCCACGUCCCUGGAGUAAGCAAGCAUGAAACCUCAGUCCCUCUGUCACUCCAUCAGAAGGAUCCACACUGGGGCAGCCGGUGUCCCUUCAAUGGAUAAGCUGCAGCCUCCUUGGGUGUUGAGUGUCUUGGUUGGAGAUGAUGAGGAUCAGGGGCUGAGGACCCAGUCCCAGCCCCUUUGUCUCCCUGAACAUUCACAAAGGAAGGAAGUGUGCUGGCCAGGGCUCCUGGACCCAUCAGAUCAAAGAGAGCAACUGGAUCACUGCCCCCUCCUCAUCUCUCCCUGCGUAGCUCCCGCCCAAUCACAUGAUGAAAAUCUCACAGAUGUACUCAAAGGAGGCGAGGGCAGAGUGGCUGGAGAUCAGUGCCCUAUACUGCUGAGAUGGCCAACCCCUCAAUGCACGCUUGGGGACUGGGUUUGGCAGGGCAGACAGCAACAGAGGGCAUGAGAAAGGGUUGGAGGGAGGAAGAGUCUGGGGAGGAAGAAUAAUUGCAACAUGAAGAGCAGAAAGAGUGCGUGAUCUGAAGCCAAAAGAACCGGGUUCAAGGCCCUCUGUGUGACCUUGGAGAAGUCACUUAACUUCUCUGAGUCUCACUCAGCUCAUCUGUCAACUGGUGAAUAACAAUGCCUCCCUAAUAGGGUGGCUGUAAAGAUCAUUGGGAUAAGGUAUAUGGAUCAAUUUUGUAAAUGCUCUCCACAUGCAAAGAAUUUCUAUGAUCCCAAUCUCUGUAUCCUAUUAGCUAAGUUAUAAACCCAUGGUGAUACGGAGAGGCUUCUGGAACCAGGUGAGGGUUGGUGACUCUUGCCACUCUAGGUUCUAAGGCCAUGGAGGGAGGCUGGUGGACAAUAUGGGGAAACUCUAAAUUCAUUCAUCUGUAAUGAAGGGACGGGGUGGGGAGCAGAGCCUUCCUCACCUGACUUUGCUGCUGUUUGUUAUUCUCGGGACAAAGUUCCCCGAGCUGAUGCUGCUUGAAGCAGGGCUGUCUGGAGUGAUGGCUUGACAGGAUGAUGGAUGGGGACCAGGCACGGCUUCUGACACCGCAGCACAUACUCUGCAUUCUUUAUCUGGGGCUGCUGCCGGCGGAAGGCUGCAAAUAAGCUCUCCAGCUACAGGGAUCGCUGAUAAAAGUCCACUGUGGGUGCGGAGACGAUCAUACUGGAUUCAACAGCGCGCAGGCCUGGGAGGCGAGGGGCAUGUUGGGAGCGGAGGGCUGCCGCUGAGGAAAUUUUCCCUGAGCCUGGAGGCUCUGGCACUGGAAUUCCAUAAAAGUCACUGGUCUGAGCGGAGACUCAAACCAUCUCUGACAUCCAAUUGUCUUUUCCAUUUGUGAGUCAAGGAAAAUUACAUGGGCCGUGCUGCAGC
Molecule: long non-coding RNA, 2885 nt
Organism: Equus caballus (horse)
Lineage: Eukaryota; Metazoa; Chordata; Mammalia; Perissodactyla; Equidae
Source: RefSeq, a predicted model, not a curated record